UGUGCAAUAUAGAAAUGUCUUCUACUAAAUAGCAAUAUUUAUUUCAUUUCAUUUAAUAUUUAUUUUAAAUAUUUGAAAAGAAGAUUUAUUAUUACCUAGCAAAUUAAUAGUUACUAUCACUGUAAUGGUGCCUUGCUAAACAUUAUUUCAUUUUUUUCAAUAAUGAAAUAAUAUUAAUAAUUUUGUUUCAUCAAUUAUUAUUCCGUCAUCUCAUUAUUCAUGAUUCCUUGCUUCCUUAUGAUGGAAAAAUCAACUCAAACUUGUUUAAGCAAUAAUGGGAUAUGGUGGCUUUUGAAGGCUUAAGAUUUCAUGUUCAGUUUGGCAUUUUCAUUUGAGUUAAAGCCAAAGCUCAAAUAGCAAUUGAAUCUCUCUCUACAUCUCCCAGUUCAUGCUUCCUCUCAGUGGAUUCACUGUCAUGUAAGCCUCCCUACUCAACAGCCUUCAGCAACUUGAAAUACAUAUUACUUUUAUAGUUAACUGUUCCAAAGGAAAUAAAGAUUUUCUGUCCCAGUGAUUCCCACCAAAUUCUUUCAUUAAGCCUCUUUCAUCUGACUUGGGCUAGGCAAUUAUUCUCUAACCAAUAAAAGAAACCAGAGGCUGAUACAAUCUCUAAAUGUCUGUGAUCAACCAAGAAAGAUUUAUUUACCCACUUUUGCAGAUAUGGGUGGGGUCAACCUUAGUCAACUUUCUUGAGUCACAAGUGAUAUUAGCUUGUAAUGUUAGCUGAAUUUAGGAAUUAGAUGUUCAGCAUUAAUAUACACUAUGGCAUCUAUAUCAUUGAAUGUAUGAAAUAUUUCAUAAGUAACAAAGGAAUGGAUGUACUAUAGUACCAUGAAAGAAACUUUAGAUUACCAGAAGAAAUAUGAAUGCCUGUUUGAUAGUUCACUAAAACGAUGAUAAAUAUUUUCACCUAACCACCUAAAUGAUUUUUAUGGGUACCAGGACUUUGUGGCAAGGGGUAAGUGGUGUCCCAGGUUUUCUGGCCUGUUUUUGCCAGCUCAUUUCCUGGAUUCAGGGUCUUCUUUCUUCCCACAUUUUUCAACUCCAGUGAACUUCUCUGAUCAUCAUGUUUUACAUCUUUCUUUCUAACAUUCCAACCCUAAACAUUAAAAUUGCUGAAAUUAGAAAUGGGUGAAUGAUCACCCAAUAAAUAUUCAAGAUAAAGGCAUAAAUGAAGUGGUGAAAAAAUUUAGAUUUGAUUAUUAGAGAGAUAUUAAACAGACAUUCUGAGAGCAGCCAUGGCUAGAAGCACCGCCUCAGGUAUUGAGUGGUUUGGGAAUAAAGUAAAAAAUAGUACCUUCGUUUGACAGAUUUUUUCAUCAGAUUUCCAUGCUAUUUUCUUUGCAAACAUUAUAUGAUUCCAUUAUUUAUCCAUUAUAUCAAUAGAUCACCUUAAACACAUUUUGAAAAGCCCUCUCCCCACUUGGGAAAAUAAGUUUUAAUGUAGCAGAGACUGCCUUCUCUCCCUAGUCUCAGUGUUCCCCAAAAUAACUUUUUUAACACUAAUUUUUUCCCAUCUUUAAAAACUUUAGAACAGACCUUAAAAUUUGCAGAUGCCAGAUUUCAUUCUUAUAUUUAGUGUGUAUAAUGUCUACCUCAUAAAAAACUGAGUUAAAUUCUCGAGCUUGGCAAAACACCAGGAUUAUUUCCUUUCUCUAGAAUUGAAAGCAAAUAGUUUGGACAAGUGACCAUUAUUUUGAUCAAUUUCUUGACCACCAUAUGUGCUUAUAUUUUUAAAGGGCCAUAGAUUGAUAAUUUUCUCUUAUUGAUAAUUUUCAUGUUUAGAUAUAUCACAGCAAUAUUCUACAUUAGAAGUUAGCUGACAAAACCUUUCUUCCCAGUGAAGAAAGGAUAUGUGUAGAUUGAAAAGUGUUUAAAUGGAAUUUUUAUUUUUUAUCCUCGUAAUAAUGCUUCUAUUUCAUUUUGUUCUCAUAGCUCCUAAACAGAGAGAGAAACAACUCUAUUUUGAUUUAGUUAAUUCUAUGGGAUUGAUUUGUUCAAGAUUUCUCCCGAAAUCUGCUUCAUAAGGCAGUAAUCAAAGGCAGGGGCCCUUAAAGCGCUGGCAUUAAGUGUUUUCCAUUUUGAUUCAUUGUUUUGUUUCCAUCUUGCACUCUGUACUGACCACUGUUAAAGGAUAGAGGAAAUAAUCUAAGUGGUAAUCUCACUGAAUGGGCCAUCCUCAAAGCUGAUUUACAGGGAUCUCAAGGUUCUUUUGAUCAGAGAAAAGUCUCUGAAUGGUUCAUGAUAUCAACAAGACGAAGCAACAUAGGUAUUAACUCUUCAUAUUUUAAACAAAAUCAGUUAGGGAGAUACCACGUAUGCAUUCCUAUGUAUUCCUGAACACAUAAUUCAGCUUUGCAGACAAUGAGAAUUCAACCAUCACUGAGCUCCUCCUAGGAUAUUUUCAAAAAGUGGCCUUUAUGGACCCUUUGGAUUUUUAUAGUCAGUCUGUCUCUGAAUUCUGGGCUCACUUCACAUGUCAAUUCCAAGAAUGGAACAUAUUCUUACAAUCUGGUUGGGUUACUUUUCUGUUCUUUUUCGUGUUCCAUGUGAUCUGCACGUGCUUUUGAAAUUUAGGUUUUAAUGAAAUUCAAUUAAAAAAAAAUUUUACGUUGUAUAGCAAUAGAUUUCCCUUCUAUGAAUCUUUUCCCACAUCUUCUAUAUCACAAGCAGGGUAUUAUUGAUAAAAUGUAUUUUAAACUGUGGAAUUAUAUAUAUAUAUAUACACACACACAUACACAUCUAUACAUAUAGAUGGAUAGAUAUAAUUAAGAUAUAGAUAUAUGCUUAAUAAUUUAAUACUUGCCUCAAAUCAAUGAUGAUAAAUGCUAAUAAAGAUAAACUGAGGACUCCAUAUAUUUUUAAGCAAUACUAAUAAUAUGGUAGUAUUUACAUCUAUAUGUUUAUAUUAUUGGUAAUUAAUUUAGUAACAAAUGCCAUUUGAAUCUGGAAUUUAAGUACCUUUCUCUUAAGAUUCAGGUACUGAAUUAAAUUAUUUACAAAUUUCUUAGGACAAUUUUUAUAUUUUACUUGCAUGGUUUCAGCACAAAUUAUUUUCAAUGGUAAAUAAAGAUAUUUCCUAUAUCACUGUCACUUUACAAUAAUAAUAAUAAGAUAAAGAAUAAUAAAAAUAUUAUGUCAACAUUUUUAUUGUCAGUAGCUCUUGGUGUUUUAAUAGUCUGACUAUUGAAAUUAAUUUUUAAAUGACACUUAUAAAGUAUCCCAGGUGUCUACCUUGUUCAUUGGUAUCAUAUUUAAUUUAUUAAAAGCUCUCAGAAUUGAAAGAAAAAUGAAUUAUUCCAGUGUUCUAGACAUAAUCAUGUGUUAUGACUAUGAAUUGAGUGUAUCUAUAAAUCUCAUUACCAACACCUUUCUUUUAAAGACAUUAUGUAAAUAUUUAACCCUUCUGUUCUUCAUGGCAAUGGUAAAAGUAGGGGGCAUACCUGAUCAUCACUAGGAAUUAGGCAAAAUUUAGUUUUGGCCCCAUUUUUUAAUGGGGAGUUUCAGGUUCAGGACAAGUCAGAUGCCUUCCAAACAAGCAGCGCAAUGUCCAACAUUGUCUCUCCCCCCAAAAUUAAAUAGUAACUUAUGUUCACUCUUCGAGUUACUUAUUUCUCCCAUAUCAAGGUACAAGAGAUGAGAAACUAGUCUUUGUAAAGGGAAAGCCAAGUCCAGACACUCUGUUCAUUCUUCCUCUACUAUUCAUCACAUAACUGUCAUCAGAAAAUUGUCAGUUGAUGUACCUCAUCUCCUUCAUUAGAAAAAAAAAAUUUCAUAUCUGAUUUUUAUUUUCAUUCUUUAUCACUUUAAAAUAAAAAAAAUAGGUCCAUUGGGCAGAAGCCAAGGAGGGGUGGGUGGGAAAUAAUAGAGAAAUACAGACCUAAGGAUAAAAAUGCUUUAGAAACAUAAUUACUCAAACAUACACAUGGAGGAACACACCCACACACUCUCUAAGGAAAGUUUCCAAGUGGCUUUGAGCAUAUAGCAUGCUCUAAAUAUUCCUACUAACCAUACUGCUUUCUACAUCUAAAAAACAAAUGCAUAAGAGUAAUAAAAGUAAUUUAUGAAAAAGUAUAAAGUCAUUAUACUAGUAAUGAAAGUUCAAUUACAAUGUAAAGUCUAAUAAGAAUUUAAGAUUAUUAAUUCUAAAAUUUAAUUCUGAUUCCAGAGGCUCAAGUAGUCACCUUGGGUAACUAGAAAAUUAUAUCUUAUUUUUAUUCUUUUCCUUUUGUUAAAAAGCUGUUUUAGGCAUGUGGGAGAAAAUAUUGAUUCGGUUUCCAGAGUAACACAGAAACUCAAGGGAGCUUUAUAGACCUCUAAGAUCUUGGUAGGAUUUUAAGUUAGCCUAUAACUUAUAGAAAUUUUGUCUAGAAUUUAUUCUAUAAAAUUAUAUACUCUUUAUCCCUAUAAUCUCCUUUCAAUCUUUCAAUAAAAAAGAACUUAACCAAUCUUAGGUCCAAACUUAUCUGAAUUUCCCUAUGUAUUUCUGCUACUUAAUUUUAACUUCACCGUAGGAAAAAAUACAUUGUACCAAAUGCACAAUUAUCUCAAGAUAUUAUUUUAAGAGUGAAUCUUAAUUUUAAAUAUCUUUAGAAUUAUAUCCAAUAUUUAUUUUGCCUAUUCUAAGAAUACAAAUACAUUGGUGAGAUAGAAUAGUACUCAUGUUAAAAAAAACCCUGACAAUUACCAAUAUGUUUGUUUUUUUCCCAGUCAGCUAACAUUUCAAUAUUCAUUUGAUGGUUAGUGAUAGGAAAUGUCAUUCCCAUGUAGCAGUCAGCUACAGAGGUUGCCCUUGUUCUCUAUAUCCUGUCCCUGUGACAACAAAAUACCAAGAUUCUCUCAGGUCUCAGUCUGGAAAUCUGUCACUAAUUGUUUCAGCAGCCCAUUCCACCAGUAAGGCAUUAUUUUGACGGUUUCUCAUUCUGGUUCAUUUCAAUUCAAGCUCAUUAGCUUUAUAUGUUCCCAAAUGUUUCAAAAUCUUUAGUCAGUGACAUCUGUCCAAGUCAGGGCUCU
RNAcentral lists this long non-coding RNA (5013 nucleotides) under Sus scrofa (pig). Its description in RNAcentral is "lncRNA (ENSSSCG00000061299.1)". Lineage: Eukaryota; Metazoa; Chordata; Mammalia; Artiodactyla; Suidae. The record is from RNAcentral.